Molecule: ribosomal RNA, 253 nt
Filed under: uncultured bacterium
Lineage: Bacteria
Description: partial 16S ribosomal RNA
Rfam family: Bacterial small subunit ribosomal RNA
Source: RNAcentral
GACAGAGGGUGCAAACGUUGUUCGGAAUUACUGGGCGUAAAGCGCGUGUAGGUGGCCGUGUAAGUCGGAUGUGAAAGCCCUCGGCUCAACUGGGGAAGCGCACCCGAAACUACAAGGCUAGAGUCUCGGAGAGGAUCGUGGAAUUCUCGGUGUAGAGGUGAAAUUCGUAGAUAUCGAGAGGAACACCGGUGGCGAAGGCGGCGAUCUGGACGGUGACUGACACUGAGACGCGAAAGCGUGGGGAGCAAACAGG